UACGUAGGGUGCAAGCAUUGUCCGGAUUUAUUGGGCGUAAAGAGCUCGUAGGCGGCUUAUCACGUCGGAUGUGAAAACUCGGGGCUCAACCCCGAGCCUGCAUUCGAUACGGGCUAGCUAGAGUGUUGCAGGGGAGACUGGAAUUCCUGGUGUAGCGGUGAAAUGCGCAGAGAUCAGGAGGAACACCGGUGGCGAAGGCGGGUCUCUGGGCAACUACUGACGAUGAGGAGCGAAAGCGUGGGGAGCGAACAGG
Molecule: ribosomal RNA, 253 nt
Filed under: uncultured bacterium
Lineage: Bacteria
Description: partial 16S ribosomal RNA
Rfam family: Bacterial small subunit ribosomal RNA
Source: RNAcentral